GUGUCAGCAGCCGCGGUAAUACGUAGGGUGCAAGCGUUGUCCGGAAUUAUUGGGCGUAAAGAGCUCGUAGGCGGUUUGUCGCGUCUGCUGUGAAAUCCCGAGGCUCAACCUCGGGUCUGCAGUGGGUACGGGCAGACUAGAGUGUGGUAGGGGAGAUUGGAAUUCCUGGUGUAGCGGUGGAAUGCGCAGAUAUCAGGAGGAACACCGAUGGCGAAGGCAGAUCUCUGGGCCAUUACUGACGCUGAGGAGCGAAAGCAUGGGGAGCGAACAGGAUUAGAAACCCUGGUAGUCC
RNAcentral lists this ribosomal RNA (292 nucleotides) under uncultured bacterium. RNAcentral's name for it is "partial 16S ribosomal RNA". It matches the Rfam family "Bacterial small subunit ribosomal RNA", at positions 505 to 796 of the family's 1533-position model. The record is from RNAcentral.